Molecule: long non-coding RNA, 1633 nt
Organism: Malania oleifera
Lineage: Eukaryota; Viridiplantae; Streptophyta; Magnoliopsida; Santalales; Ximeniaceae
Exons: 2
Source: RefSeq, a predicted model, not a curated record
ACUCUUGUUGCCUCGAAACCAGACAUAUGAAAGCUAAAAUUUUUCAUUUUUGGGUUAUUUCCUCGAUCAACUUCUCUCUCCUCACUUAGAAGAUCUCUCAUUUCUCUCUCUUCUCCUUAUUUGUUUCCCCAAACGAUCUGAAAACUUUGGUUCAGAUCUUCGUCUCCCUGAAACUCUCUUUUCUCUCUCGAAAACCUGGAGUCAACUACGCUCUCUCCCUCUUUGUUUCCUCGAACGAUAUGAAACUUCAGUUCAGAUCUUUUGUCUCCCUGAAGCUCUUUUUUCUUUCCAUUUCUUGUCCUCGAACUCUCUCUUCCUUCUCUCUAAUCUAUUUGAAAACAUGUACCUCAAAUGUCUAGAACCCCUUUAAAAGCCUAUCAGAUCUAGAACCCCUUGGUCUUGUAAGCUUCGUUUGCCUUGACAGUGGCGAACUACUAAACACCCGAAGGUGUUUAAAGGAUGGUGACCCUUGCGACGAGACCCAGGAGGGGUCUAACUGAAAGUUUCAAAGCUAAGUAUCUCAUCUUUAUUAUUGCUCUGUCUGAAAAUUGCUAUUGAUGUGUGUGAAUGUGUGUAUGCUUUGUCACUGCAUAUGAGUUGAGUGUUGGUUGUGUUUUGGGUGAUUCUAGGGUUUUAGAUUCAAGGGUUAGGGUUCAGGAACGAGUCGACUAGUCCGAACCCUAACUUGGUGAGUUGCAAUGAGGUUGACUUGUGCAAAUCAACCUGUGGGUUUGUGUGGGCUCGAAGGCACUCCGAGUGGGCUUAGUGGGCUCAGGGAUUUCUGGCACGUGGUGGGUUGGUUUUAAACAUGUUUUGGGCUUGGGUUAUUUUAAAACGAAUGGGCUCAUGUUUAAACAUGGUUUGGGCUUGGGUUAUUUUAAAAUAAAUGGGCUCAAAUUUAAGAAUAUUAGUGGGCUCAGACUGUUUUAAAAAUAGUAGGAGCCUGAUUUUAAAAAUGGUGGGCUCAGUUUCUUCUUAAAAACAUCGGCCAAGGGGUUUAAAAAUGGUUCAUGGGUUUGGUUUCAAAAAGGGUUGCUGGGCUUGGUUUUAAAAGGGUUGGUGGGCUUGGUUUUAAAAAAUAUUUAUGAGCUUAAUUUAAAAGGUUUUGUGGGCUUGGUUUUUUAAAUAGGGUAUGGGCUCGGUCCUUUUUCAAAAGCAGAUGGACUUAGGUUUUAAAAAUGUUUGGGCUUUGGGGAGUUUUAAAACAGAUAUGGGCUUUGGUUUCUAGUUUGGUUCAAAGUAAAGUUUAGUGGUGAUUGGGCUGAUUCUCCAAUCAAUGGAAAUUCGGGCAGUGAGUCUGAGGAGGGAAUAUUUCAAAUUUUUGCAAUAUCUCUCGAGAACUUGUUUCCAUACUGACCUUUAACCAAGGUGAACAGGACCUUCGAGGAUGCUUCAAAAUAUGCUUGCACACGACAUUUUGGGAUUUGGAUUUGAUUUUUAUUUCCUUUGUAUUUUCAUUGUAAUUCCCCGUAUUUCCCAAUUACUUCCCUGUAUUUUCCUUAUAUGUAUUUUUGCGGUAAUUCCCUAUAUCCCCCAAUAUUGUACUUUUAUGUAUUCUAUAUUUCAGCAUCUCCUUGUAUUCCAUAACUUGGGCACGUGCCCCCUUCAAUAAAAUGUAUUACUUUAUUAUGCA